CCUACGGGAGGCAGCAGUGGGGAAUAUUGCACAAUGGGGGAAACCCUGAUGCAGCGACGCCGCGUGAGUGAAGAAGUAUUUCGGUUUGUAAACUUCUUUUAGCAGGAACGAGACAAAACGGUACCUGCCUAAAAAGCCCCGGCUAACUACGGGCCAGCAGCCGCGGUAAUACGUAGGGGGCAAGCGUUAUCCGGAAUCACUGGGUGGAAAGGGGGCGUAGACGGCAGAGCAAGCCAGAAGUGAAAGGCGGGGGCCCAACCCCUGAACUGCAUUGGAAACUGUACGGUUGGAGUACGGGAGAGGUAAGUGGAAUUCCUGGUGUAGCGGUGAAAUGCGUAGAUAUUAGGAGGAACACCAGUGGCGAAGGCGGCUUACUGGACUGUAACUGACGUUGAGGCUCGAAAGCGUGGGGAGCAAACAGGAUUAGAUACCCGGGUAGUC
Molecule: ribosomal RNA, 441 nt
Filed under: uncultured bacterium
Lineage: Bacteria
Description: partial 16S ribosomal RNA
Rfam family: Bacterial small subunit ribosomal RNA
Source: RNAcentral